UUUCAAUGAUAACUAUGGUCACGUCCGCCAUCUUGCGUACGUUAGCUCUGGUAAGGAUGCCGGCCUUCUAGUUCGCAUUUAUCUCUGGUUCGUCUUCAGCCUUUGAGAUCUUUAACCUUGACUUCACUGUGAUUAGAAUUGGUAUCAGAGCCAGGCUGGGCCAUUACCAUCAUUAAAGAGCCUCAGGUUGGAGACUCAAAUCUAAGCUUAAGAUAAAGUUUAGAUUUUGGCGACAAGAGGAGAGAUCACGAAAGCAGAUGGCUGACGUGACUAGGACUCCACGCACAAAGGACUUUGGAUCUGCAUCCAUCCAAUGUCUGAUGUUGACAUCGACAAACUACACAGUCUGGUCGAUGAGGAUGAAGGUUCUACUUCGUGUUCAUGAAGUUUGGGACACAAUCGAACCCGGUUCAGAUGAUCAAAAGAAGAACGACGUUGCGAUAGCUCUUUUGUUUCAAUUUGUUCCCGGGACAUUGAUUCUCAAGGUGAGAGAACAAACCGCAUCAAGAACGCCAUCAAAUCGUGACACCUAGGAGCUGAUCGUGUAAGGGAGGCGAGACUUCAGACGUUGAUGACGGAGAUGAUCGUAGAAAUUUCGAGUGUAACACAUGUGUAGCAGAGAAGCAAACUAGACAUUUGUUCCCGCCUAUUAUACUAUUGAAGAAAAAGCAUGAGGUAUUCGAUCGGUUCAAAGGGUUGAAGGAACCCAUUAAAACCUUUCUCAUCGAUAUAGGGGAGAGUUUAUCUCAGCUAGGUUCAUUCUGCUUUGUGAAGAAAGUGGAUUUGAACCUAUUAUGGCCAAGAUGGAUUCUAUCACAAGAAACAAGACGGGUGAGUGGAUAGAUCGGCUGGUGUUAAACAUAUCGGGGUAUGUGACACAAAGGUGGAAGUGUGUAACACGAUCCACGCAAGGGUAUGUGACACAAAGAUGGAAGCAUGUAACAAAUUUCAAUUUUAUGGAAUAUCUUUCCGUUAUAUCUCUAUUUAUAUGAAAAACAAUUCUCUUUAACAUGUGAGAUAUGAAAAACUCAAACUUAACCUAAAUAGAUUUUUUUUUUUUAGAUUUAAAUUUCUUUGUUAACUUUAUUUUAAAAUAAUAAUAUGUUAAGUUUCCACGAACUUAGAAUUAUCCAAUAUUGAUUAAGAUCUUUACCUCUCUGGCCCACCCUUUUUUGUAUUUUCUCUAUCUAAAAAGCCAUUAUAAAAAUUGAUACUCCAAACCAAACAAAGUUCCGAUGAGCCUAAUUAUCUAUUGCUUAAUGAGCGUCGAAUCAUUGAUUAUAUAUUACUAGGGUCAGUUCGCGUGGGAUAAGAUUUAUGUAUGAUAUAAAAAAAAAUAUAAUUGUAUCUUAUUUUUGAAUGUGUUUUAUAAGCUUUUGUAAGAAAUAUGUAUUAUAAUAUUUAAGGUUUUUAAGAAUGUUGGUGUGUAGAGGUUAUAUGUUAGUAUAUUCUUUAGUUUAUUUUAAGAUUUUAAAAAUCUUACUAAAUUUAGCCGAAUUCUUUAAAAAUUUGAUGUGAAAAUAAUAUUCUAGUUCUUUAACUUCAAAGAUUAAAUAUUCUGAAUUAUAUAAAUAAAUUUUGUGUAAAAUUCACGUAUAACUUUAUCUAAUUUUUACAUAAUUUUAAACGAUCAUUUAUAUAUUAUGAUCAAUACUUUUAGUGUUUAUAUUAGGUAUUGCAUAUCUAUUUGUAUUCUAUGUUUACAAAAUUGUAUAUUUCAUUUAACGUUUGAUUGUUUAUUUUUCUAAUGUGUUUUUGUGUUUUACUUGUUGUCAAAUAUAUUUUGCAACAUUGUACUAUUUUAGUUAUUACCUUCCUUUUAGGUUAUAUCUUUUCAUUUUAAUGAAAACACAUCCUCAUCUGAUCUUUGUAUACAUCUAAAUAAAAUUAACAUUUUUUAUAUUUGUAUUAGUGUUGUUAGGGAUCAUAAUUUGUAUUAGGAAUAAAAAAAAUUUGUUAUUGUAAUUGUUAUAUAGUUUCUUAAAUGUUUGCUCAAAUUUAAUAUAUACAUAUAGCAAAUGGAAUAUAAUUUUUAUUAUUUCGGUUAGGUUUAACACAUACAACAUUGGGUUUAUUUUCUCUUGUGUACAUACUUUUGAAUUUACUGGUAGAUUAGUUCAUUAUAUUCUUUUGGAAUCAAUAAUUUAAAUAAUCCAAAAUGCAAGUACAUAAUUCACUGUUAUAGAGUUUUUCUAAAAGUUUGGUAAAUACAUUGAAAACAAAAUAUUAAUUAUUACUAUUCAGAUAAAGAUAUUACUGGAUUUUAUAUAUUAUUAUAUUUAGAGACUAAAUAAACUUUUUUAUCCAAAUAGUUGAUUAUAUUUAAAUAACAAAAAAAAUUAUUCAUUAUUUUCGAAUAUUGUUUUUUUCAAAUUAACUAUCUCAUAUAGAAUAAAUUUAUAUAUAUUUUGAGAAGCCCAUUAAUCAAUGUUUAUUCAUAAAAUAUGUUUCCUAGAUAAAAAUUAAAAUGAAAAAAAAAACAAUUUACAACUCCUUAAGACAACAUGAUCAAUUAAAAACAAAAAAAAAACUCUCU
Brassica rapa (field mustard) is the source of this 2536-nucleotide long non-coding RNA. RefSeq lists it as uncharacterized. Lineage: Eukaryota; Viridiplantae; Streptophyta; Magnoliopsida; Brassicales; Brassicaceae. The record is from RefSeq and is a predicted model, not a curated record.